GAUGAACGCUGGCGACGUGCCUAAUACAUGCAAGUCGUACGGAAAGGCCCUUCGGGGUACUCGAGUGGCGGACGGCUGAGUAACGCGUGGGAACGUGCCCCAAAGUGAGGGAUAACGCACCGAAAGGUGUGCUAAUACCGCAUAUGGUCUUCGGAUUAAAGCUUCGGCGCCUUGGGAGCGGCCCGCGUAGGAUUAGAUAGUUGGUGAGGUAAUGGCUCACCAAGUCGACGAUCGUUAGCUGGUCUGAGAGGAUGAUCAGCCAGACUGGGACUGAGACACGGUCCAGACUCCUACGGGAGGCAGCAGUGGGGAAUUUUGGACAAUGGACGCAAGUCUGAUCCGGCCAUUCCGCGUGCAGGAUGAAGGCCCUCGGGUUGUAAACUGCUUUUGUACGGAACGAAAAGGUUUCCAUUAAUACUGGGAGCUCAUGACGGUACCGUAAGAAUAAGCACCGGC
RNAcentral lists this ribosomal RNA (456 nucleotides) under uncultured bacterium. RNAcentral's name for it is "partial 16S ribosomal RNA". It matches the Rfam family "Bacterial small subunit ribosomal RNA", at positions 28 to 497 of the family's 1533-position model. The record is from RNAcentral.